UCAAGUUGUAAGCCAAUCAGGAGAUACCUACUGACCACCUAUUUAAAGGCACUUCUUGCUCAAACCGUCCUUGUUUGCUUCUGACCAUAAUGCAGUCUAGUAGUUUUGUGAGUUGCAGUGAUUUGUUAAUUUUAAAGUAAAUUUUUUUUAGUGUUUGUUCCCCCUUUUAAGGGGGAACAAUGGAGGACUACUUCGUUUAGUCUGGUUGGUUUGCCUUUUCACUGGAAUACUCCUAGUCUGCCCACUGAUCCAGGAAUUUGUUUUGAACAAGAUCGACGACCGGGCUCUAGGCUACAUCGAGCGGGUGGCACUGGGCGCCGUCUUUGCCAUCUCGUAUUAUAAAAAAGAAGCCAUAGAUAACCGCUGCAGUUUGAUCAUCAGAGUUACCGGUCGGCGGUUCAGCUCGAUCUUCCGGAGAACGAUUUAGCUACCCGUACUCAGCCUGCUCAAAGGUCAGAAUGCUGGAAAGUUUGGGGGGAAAAGAUUUAAAACAUUGUAUAAACACAAUGAUGAGAAGGAUUGCAGCAGACGAGGUGGCAAUGAAUAUUUCAUACACAGGAAAAUCUGUUGGAAAAGUGCACAAAAUGACUUUUUCUAAAUAUUUAGUGUGCAAGUGUGUGCAUGGCAAGUGUUAUACUAACACCACAGAUUUGUUAAUUAAAGAGAAAAACUAAACACAAUUGUUUUAAAAAUAAAAAUACACGAUUGAGAUUUGCCAUGAAGGUAAAACUAUAUCGAACUGAAGGGUGGUGAUUGGUUUGGUAAAUAAUUAAUACACUCGUAGUUAGGUUUGCUGUUACAGGAAGCGAGUUUUUUAUUCUCUCCAUAAACCAUUUAGCAUACAAUAAUGCUUAAAAAUGCGCACUAUUAGCUCUACAGUUUGGAAAGGAAAAAAUUUUAACCCCAAUAAAUCUCCUCAUAACCCAUAGUCCAAUCAUGCUGGUUCGCGAACUUCUUUGAAAGAAAUGUAGUUUAACACGUUUAUACAAAAUUUCAUUAACAUUGGAUAAUUUUUGUUUGAGUUGUCAUGCUAAAGACACACGCACACGUACAUACAUACACACACAAUAUAUGGGUUUUUGGUCUUUGGGAACCUUUAAACAAAACAGGAAAUCGGCCCUGCGUCCAGGCCUUAUCAUGAGACCUACGGUAAUAGCUUAUUAUUCCCUGCAUAGGAAAUUUGUUAAAACACGAUUAUGGUUAUAAUCAUAUAUAAUUUUUUUUUAAUAUGAUAUAAAUUUUAACAGACAGUGUUUUUGGCCUAUGGUAAUAGCU
Molecule: long non-coding RNA, 1275 nt
Organism: Macrosteles quadrilineatus (aster leafhopper)
Lineage: Eukaryota; Metazoa; Arthropoda; Insecta; Hemiptera; Cicadellidae
Exons: 5
Source: RefSeq, a predicted model, not a curated record